RNAcentral lists this ribosomal RNA (184 nucleotides) under uncultured Banisveld landfill bacterium BVB03. RNAcentral describes it as "partial 16S ribosomal RNA". It matches the Rfam family "Bacterial small subunit ribosomal RNA", at positions 370 to 552 of the family's 1533-position model. The record is from RNAcentral.
CUUGGGCGAAAGCUGACCAUGUGACACCGCGUGCGGGAAGAAGCUCUAAUCGAGCGUAAACCGCUGUGGUAGGGGAAGAAGUCCCGACUUAGUCGGGAUUGACGGUACCCUACUACAAACAACCCGCUAACUGCGUGCCAGAAAGCGUCGGUAAUACGUGGGCUUCAUGCGCUUAUCCGGUUUU